This 101-nucleotide non-coding RNA is filed under the name Shewanella algae. RNAcentral describes it as "Glycine sequence". It matches the Rfam family "Glycine riboswitch aptamer". From Rfam's summary of the family: This family represents the bacterial glycine riboswitch. Glycine riboswitches usually consist of two metabolite-binding aptamers domains with similar structures in tandem. The record is from RNAcentral. Lineage: Bacteria; Pseudomonadati; Pseudomonadota; Gammaproteobacteria; Alteromonadales; Shewanellaceae.
GGACGAGCCUCUGGAGAGACCGGGCAUGCCCCGGCGCCGAAGGCGAAAGUGCCGGCUUAGGCCAGCGCGAAACGCUCAGGCAAAAGGACAGAGGAGAGGAU